Molecule: ribosomal RNA, 119 nt
Filed under: Helianthus annuus (common sunflower)
Lineage: Eukaryota; Viridiplantae; Streptophyta; Magnoliopsida; Asterales; Asteraceae
Source: RNAcentral
GGUUGCGAUCAUACCAGCACUAAUGCACCGGAUCCCAUCAGAACUCCGCAGUUAAGCGUGCUUGAGCGAGAGUAGUACUAGGGUGGGUGACCCCCUGGGAAGUCCUCGUGUUGCAACCC